Molecule: ribosomal RNA, 572 nt
Filed under: Salmonella enterica subsp. enterica serovar Paratyphi B var. L(+) tartrate +
Lineage: Bacteria; Pseudomonadati; Pseudomonadota; Gammaproteobacteria; Enterobacterales; Enterobacteriaceae
Description: partial 23S ribosomal RNA
Rfam family: Bacterial large subunit ribosomal RNA
Source: RNAcentral
GGGCGUUAAGUUGCAGGGUAUAGACCCGAAACCCGGUGAUCUAGCCAUGGGCAGGUUGAAGGUUGGGUAACACUAACUGGAGGACCGAACCGACUAAUGUUGAAAAAUUAGCGGAUGACCUGUGGCUGGGGGUGAAAGGCCAAUCAAACCGGGAGAUAGCUGGUUCUCCCCGAAAGCUAUUUAGGUAGCGCCUCGUGAAUUCAUCUCCGGGGGUAGAGCACUGUUUCGGCUAGGGGGCCAUCCCGGCUUACCAACCCGAUGCAAACUGCGAAUACCGGAGAAUGUUAUCACGGGAGACACACGGCGGGUGCUAACGUCCGUCGUGAAGAGGGAAACAACCCAGACCGCCAGCUAAGGUCCCAAAGUCAUGGUUAAGUGGGAAACGAUGUGGGAAGGCCCAGACAGCCAGGAUGUUGGCUUAGAAGCAGCCAUCAUUUAAAGAAAGCGUAAUAGCUCACUGGUCGAGUCGGCCUGCGCGGAAGAUGUAACGGGGCUAAACCAUGCACCGAAGCUGCGGCAGCGACGCUUAUGCGUUGUUGGGUAGGGGAGCGUUCUGUAAGCCUGUGAAGGUG